Molecule: non-coding RNA, 88 nt
Organism: Ceratobasidium sp. 423
Lineage: Eukaryota; Fungi; Basidiomycota; Agaricomycetes; Cantharellales; Ceratobasidiaceae
Source: the annotation of a GenBank genome assembly
GCCCGGAUGGUCUAGUGGUAUGAUUCGCCCUUAGGGAACUUUGUUCUUUCAUUGGGCGAGGUCCCCGGUUCAAUCCCGGGUUCGGGCC